UGGGGAAUUUUGGACAAUGGGGGCAACCCUGAUCCAGCCAUUCCGCGUGAGUGAAGAAGGCCUUCGGGUUGUAAAGCUCUUUCGGCAGGAACGAAACGGCGAGCUCUAACAUAGCUCGCUAAUGACGGUACCUGAAGAAGAAGCACCGGCUAACUACGUGCCAGCAGCCGCGGUAAUACGUAGGGUGCGAGCGUUAAUCGGAAUUACUGGGCGUAAAGCGUGCGCAGGCGGUUGUGUAAGACAGGUGUGAAAUCCCCGGGCUUAACCUGGGAACUGCGCUUGUGACUGCACGGCUAGAGUAUGGCAGAGGGGGGUGGAAUUCCACGUGUAGCAGUGAAAUGCGUAGAGAUGUGGAGGAACACCGAUGGCGAAGGCAGCCCCCUGGGCCAAUACUGACGCUCAUGCACGAAAGCGUGGGGAGCAAACAGG
RNAcentral lists this ribosomal RNA (429 nucleotides) under Brucella melitensis. RNAcentral's name for it is "partial 16S ribosomal RNA". It matches the Rfam family "Bacterial small subunit ribosomal RNA", at positions 355 to 776 of the family's 1533-position model. RNAcentral also lists the same sequence under 2 other names. Lineage: Bacteria; Pseudomonadati; Pseudomonadota; Alphaproteobacteria; Hyphomicrobiales; Brucellaceae. The record is from RNAcentral.